This is a non-coding RNA of Trachemys scripta elegans, 74 nucleotides long. The record is from the annotation of a RefSeq genome assembly. Lineage: Eukaryota; Metazoa; Chordata; Testudines; Emydidae.
GGUAUUGUGGCUUAGCUGGCUAAAGUGCCUGUCUAGUAAACAGGAGAUCCUGAGUUCAACUCCCAGUGGUACCU